CCUACGGGAGACAGCAGUGAGGAAUAUUGGUCAAUGGACGAGAGUCUGAACCAGCCAAGUAGCGUGAAGGAUGACUGCCCUAUGGGUUGUAAACUUCUUUUAUAAAGGAAUAAAACGAGGCACGUGUGCCUUUUUGCAUGUACUUUAUGAAUAAGGAUCGGCUAACUCCGUGCCAGCAGCCGCGGUAAUACGGAGGAUCCGAGCGUUAUCCGGAUUUAUUGGGUUUAAAGGGAGCGUAGAUGGGUUGUUAAGUCAGUUGUUAAAGUUUGCGGCUCAACCGUAAAAUUGCAAUUGGUACUGGCAGUCUUGAGUACAGUUGAGGUAGGCGGAAUUCGUGGUGUAGCGGUGAAAUGCUUAGAUAUCACGAAGAACCCCGAUGGCGAAGGCAGCUUACUAAACUGUGACUGACAUUGAUGCUCGAAAGUGUGGGUAUCAAACAGGAUUAGAUACCCCAGUAGUC
Molecule: ribosomal RNA, 460 nt
Filed under: uncultured bacterium
Lineage: Bacteria
Description: partial 16S ribosomal RNA
Rfam family: Bacterial small subunit ribosomal RNA
Source: RNAcentral